Molecule: long non-coding RNA, 1601 nt
Organism: Chloebia gouldiae (Gouldian finch)
Lineage: Eukaryota; Metazoa; Chordata; Aves; Passeriformes; Passeridae
Source: Ensembl
AGCUAAUGAGCUGUAAUAAGGUGUGACGGGAAACUGAGGCACGGGUUAGAGCCAACCGUCGGUCCCCACGAGCCCCCUGGAGCCUCCAUUGCCCUCCCCGGGGCUUUUCCGAGCUCGCUUCGAAGCCGUCGCUCUCGCCCCUUUCGUUUCCGGCUUCGGAGGUUUCGCUCUUCGCUCAAAACCCGAAGGGGAAAUUCCCACCCCCAAAUUUGCUGCUGCUCGACUUUCAGGACCCGCCGCUCCCAGCUCGGCGUCACCGUGGCCACCGGGCAGGGCCAGGACGGUCCCACCACGCUUCGUCCUGGUGGCACCAGUCUGGGGGAAAUGAGAAGGAGUGGAGACCCGAAGAACCCUUGCAGGGGUGGAAUGAAAUCCAUGACAAAAUCUUCGCAGGUGGUUGUUCCCCCUCCUCUCCCCUGCCCAGGUGUGAUGGAGAUGGAGGAGGUGUUCCUGCAGCUCUGGGCGGAGGUGGCCAGGCUGCAGGAGCUGUGCUCGGAGCAGGGGAGGCUCCUCCAGAGGCUGAGGGUCAGGAAAGGACCGGUCCUGGACAUCCCAGUGUCGCUGCCUGUCCAGUGCACAGAGGAUGUGGUGACAGGGGACGGGCAAAGGUCACCUGAGAGCCGCCAGAAGCAGCCAGGAGCUCUGACAUCCUCCACAUCCCACCUGGAGGGCUCUGCUUAUCCCGUGGGACAACCCCGGGCCACCACCAGCUUCCCCCCGAGCCCUGGGCACGGCGCCGGGGCCGCAGGAGUUGCAGCUUUUGGCAGCACCGAGGGGGACAAGGGGGAAGUGCCCGCCCCGAGGAGAACCUGGAUCCUCCCCGUCCCCUGGGAUGGAGGGAGAGCUCCCUGCAGCCCUCGGCAGCCGCAGACACUACAUCCAGGUGCUGGGGCCUCCUUCCCAAAUCUUCUGGAUCUCUACGAAGCCCCAGCAGCGCUUGAGAGGGAAGAUGCUCCCGGGGAUGUGGCUCUGGUGGAGAUCCGAGGGCCUGUGAAGGUAACUGGGGAAGCUGGUGGGGAAUUCGGUCCAUGGCAUCAGGGAUGCUUCACCCUCCUCCCCAUCAGUCCUGGACACACGGGAAGUGUGGCAGAGUGGGGUUGUUUCCUUAAAAAGUCUCUGGGCAGUCAAUUUGCUGGUUCCCAGGGGAAUUUGGUACAGGAAAGCCCCUGAGGUCUGGCUGCCCAGCCAGGACAUCCCUCCCGUGGUCCUCACGGAGGCUUUGAGGAUCCCUUGGGGGAAAAGAUCUCUCAACCUCCUUUGAAUCUUCCGGUUAAAGUUCUCUAAAGUAUUUCCUUCAUUCACUCUGAUCUCCACACCCCAAAACACAUUUCCAAAUAAUUCCAAAUGAUUCCUGUCAUUCUGAAAGGAUUUCUACAGACCUCCCUGAACUCUGGCCCCUCAGGCCUCUUGGUGAACCUUCACCCCAGUCCUGGCCUUCCCCCGCCAGGGUCCCAUUUUCUUUCAUUCCUUAUCCUAUAUGAAGCCCUUAUAAAAUUCUUAAUGGCUUCAGGGCCUGGGUAUUCCUGGGGAUACCUCCUGAUUUUGGGCUAUAUUUUGGAGGGAGUUUUUAAAGGAGAAGGGGGAAGUGGGGCUGUGUCAGC